RNAcentral lists this ribosomal RNA (241 nucleotides) under uncultured bacterium. RNAcentral's name for it is "partial 16S ribosomal RNA". It matches the Rfam family "Bacterial small subunit ribosomal RNA", at positions 15 to 248 of the family's 1533-position model. The record is from RNAcentral.
GAUCCUGGCUCAGGAUGAACGCUGGCUACAGGCUUAACACAUGCAAGUCGAGGGGCAGCAUGAACUUAGCUUGCUAAGUUUGAUGGCGACCGGCGCACGGGUGAGUAACACGUAUCCAACCUGCCGAUGACUCGGGGAUAGCCUUUCGAAAGAAAGAUUAAUACCCGAUGGCAUAGUUCUUCCGCAUGGUAGAACUAUUAAAGAAUUUCGGUUAUCGAUGGGGAUGCGUUCCAUUAGGCAG